RNAcentral lists this non-coding RNA (135 nucleotides) under Rubrivivax sp. A210. RNAcentral's name for it is "Glycine riboswitch aptamer". It matches the Rfam family "Glycine riboswitch aptamer". Rfam says of the family: This family represents the bacterial glycine riboswitch. The record is from Rfam by way of RNAcentral. Lineage: Bacteria; Pseudomonadati; Pseudomonadota; Betaproteobacteria; Burkholderiales; Sphaerotilaceae.
UUCGACCUCACUGGAGAGAGGCCGGGCGGGUGCAAGGCACACGCCUUCGGCCCACCGAAGGGGCAAGGUCUGGCGGGCCCGAGAAGGGCUGGGCCAGCACCGAAUCUCUCAGGUAAAGCGGACAGCGAGGGCCCC